UACGUAUGGUGCGAGCGUUGUCCGGAAUUAUUGGGCGUAAAGGGCUCGUAGGCGGUCUGUCACGUCGGGAGUGAAAACACGGGGCUUAACCCCGUGCCUGCUUCCGAUACGGGCAGACUAGAGGUAUGCAGGGGAGAACGGAAUUCCUGGUGUAGCGGUGAAAUGCGCAGAUAUCAGGAGGAACACCGGUGGCGAAGGCGGUUCUCUGGGCAUUACCUGACGCUGAGGAGCGAAAGUGUGGGGAGCGAACAGG
RNAcentral lists this ribosomal RNA (253 nucleotides) under uncultured bacterium. RNAcentral's name for it is "partial 16S ribosomal RNA". It matches the Rfam family "Bacterial small subunit ribosomal RNA", at positions 524 to 776 of the family's 1533-position model. The record is from RNAcentral.